AACGAACGCUGGCGGCAUGCCUAACACAUGCAAGUCGAACGAUACCUUCCGGUCUUGUGGCGCACGGUUGCGUACCGCGUGGUAAUCUGCCCUUAGGUUCCUAAUAACUCCCCGAAAGUGGUCCUAAUACCGGAUAAUCUCUUCGGACCUAAGAGUUAUCGCCUUUGGAUGGGCCCGCGUUUGAUUAGCUAGUUGGUAGGGUAAAAGCAUACCAAGGCGACGAUACAUAGCUGGUCUGAGAGGAUGAUCUGCGACACUGGUACUGAGACACGGCCCAGAAUCGUACGGGAGGGAGGAGAGGGGAAUAUUGGAAAAUGGGGGAAAGGCUGAAAAAGCAAUGGCGGGUGAGUGAUGAAGGACGUAGGGAAGUGAAGUCGUUUUACACGGGAUGAUAAUGACAGUAACGGGAGAAUAAGCACCGGCUAACUCCGUG
This 433-nucleotide ribosomal RNA is filed under the name uncultured bacterium. RNAcentral's name for it is "partial 16S ribosomal RNA". It matches the Rfam family "Bacterial small subunit ribosomal RNA", at positions 29 to 507 of the family's 1533-position model. The record is from RNAcentral.